This 87-nucleotide non-coding RNA is filed under the name uncultured Ureibacillus sp. Its description in RNAcentral is "TPP riboswitch (THI element)". It matches the Rfam family "TPP riboswitch aptamer (THI element)", at positions 6 to 96 of the family's 105-position model. Rfam says of the family: Vitamin B(1) in its active form thiamin pyrophosphate (TPP) is an essential coenzyme that is synthesised by coupling of pyrimidine and thiazole moieties in bacteria. The previously detected thiamin-regulatory element, thi box was extended, resulting in a new, highly conserved RNA secondary structure, the THI element, which is widely distributed in eubacteria and also occurs in some archaea. Analysis of operon structures identified a large number of new candidate thiamin-regulated genes, mostly transporters, in various prokaryotic organisms. Lineage: Bacteria; Bacillati; Bacillota; Bacilli; Caryophanales; Caryophanaceae. The record is from RNAcentral.
ACCACUAGGGGAGCCGUUUUGGCUGAGACAGAGUAAUCUGGACCCUUUGAACCUGAUCUAGUUCAUACUAGCGUAGGAAAGUGGAGU